CCUUCGGGGUACACGAGCGGCGAACGGGUGAGUAACACGUGAGCAACCUGCCCCUGACUCUGGGAUAAGCGGUGGAAACGCCGUCUAAUACCGGAUACGACCCGCCACCUCAUGGUGGAGGGUGGAAAGUUUUUCGGUCAGGGAUGGGCUCGCGGCCUAUCAGCUUGUUGGUGGGGUAACGGCCUACCAAGGCGAUUACGGGUAGCCGGCCUGAGAGGGCGACCGGCCACACUGGGACUGAGACACGGCCCAGACUCCUGCGGGAGGCAGCAGUGGGGAAUAUUGCGCAAUGGGCGAAAGCCUGACGCAGCGACGCCGCGUGGGGGAUGACGGCCUUCGGGUUGUAAACCUCUUUUACCACCAACGCAGGCUCCCAGUUUUCUGCAGGUUGACGGUAGGUGGGGAAUAAGGACCGGCUAACUACGUGCCAGCAGCCGCGGUAAUACGUAGGGUCCGAGCGUUGUCCGGAAUUAUUGGGCGUAAAGAGCUCGUAGGCGGCGUGUCGCGUCUGCUGUGAAAGACCGGGGCUUAACUCCGGUUCUGCAGUGGAUACGGGCAUGCUAGAGGUAGGUAGGGGAGACUGGAAUUCCUGGUGUAGCGGUGAAAUGCGCAGAUAUCAGGAGGAACACCGGUGGCGAAGGCGGGUCUCUGGGCCUUACCUGACGCUGAGGAGCGAAAGCAUGGGGAGCGAACAGGAUUAGAUACCCUGGUAGUCCAUGCCGUAAACGUUGGGCGCUAGGUGUGGGGACUUUCCACGGUUUCCGCGCCGUAGCUAACGCAUUAAGCGCCCCGCCUGGGGAGUACGGCCGCAAGGCUAAAACUCAAAGGAAUUGACGGGGGCCCGCACAAGCGGCGGAGCAUGUUGCUUAAUUCGACGCAACGCGAAGAACCUUACCAAGGUUUGACAUCACCCGUGGACUCGCAGAGAUGUGAGGUCAUUUAGUUGGCGGGUGACAGGUGGUGCAUGGCUGUCGUCAGCUCGUGUCGUGAGAUGUUGGGUUAAGUCCCGCAACGAGCGCAACCCUUGUUCCAUGUUGCCAGCACGUAAUGGUGGGGACUCAUGGAGAC
This 1068-nucleotide ribosomal RNA is filed under the name Streptomyces sp. HXLW-R119. RNAcentral describes it as "bacterial SSU rRNA". It matches the Rfam family "Bacterial small subunit ribosomal RNA", at positions 77 to 1148 of the family's 1533-position model. Lineage: Bacteria; Bacillati; Actinomycetota; Actinomycetes; Kitasatosporales; Streptomycetaceae. The record is from RNAcentral.